UACGUAGGGACCAAGCGUUGUUCGGAUUUACUGGGCGUAAAGGGCGCGUAGGCGGCAAUUCAAGUCAUCUGUGAAAUCUCCGGGCUUAACUCGGAAUGGUCAGGUGAUACUGCUUUGCUAGAGUGCAGAAGGGGCAAUCGGAAUUCUUGGUGUAGCGGUGAAAUGCGUAGAUAUCAAGAGGAACACCUGAGGUGAAGACGGGUUGCUGGGCUGACACUGACGCUGAGGCGCGAAAGCUAGGGGAGCAAACGGG
Molecule: ribosomal RNA, 253 nt
Filed under: uncultured bacterium
Lineage: Bacteria
Also listed under: 1 other name
Description: partial 16S ribosomal RNA
Rfam family: Bacterial small subunit ribosomal RNA
Source: RNAcentral